CUACGGGAGGCAGCAGUAGGGAAUUUUGGACAAUGGGGGCAACCCUGAUCCAGCCAUGCCGCGUGAGUGAAGAAGGCCUUCGGGUUGUAAAGCUCUUUUGGCGGGAACGAAAUCGCUCUUCCUAACACGGGGGGCGGAUGACGGUACUCGCAGAAUAAGCACCGGCUAAUUACGUGCCAGCAGCCGCGGUAAUACGUAGGGUGCGAGCGUUAAUCGGAAUUACUGGGCGUAAAGCGUGCGCAGGCGGCUCUUUAAGUCAGAUGUGAAAGCCCCGGGCUUAACCUGGGAACUGCGUUUGAAACUGGAGAGCUGGAGUGUGGCAGAGGAAGGUGGAAUUACUGGUGUAGCAGUGAAAUGCGUAGAGAUCAGGAGGAACACCGAUGGCGAAGGCAGCCUUCUGGGCCAACACUGACGCUCAUGCACGAAAGCGUGGGGAGCAAACAGGAUUAGAUACCCCGGUAGC
RNAcentral lists this ribosomal RNA (463 nucleotides) under uncultured bacterium. Its description in RNAcentral is "bacterial SSU rRNA". It matches the Rfam family "Bacterial small subunit ribosomal RNA", at positions 339 to 794 of the family's 1533-position model. The record is from RNAcentral.